This 390-nucleotide ribosomal RNA is filed under the name uncultured soil bacterium. RNAcentral describes it as "bacterial SSU rRNA". It matches the Rfam family "Bacterial small subunit ribosomal RNA", at positions 26 to 410 of the family's 1533-position model. The record is from RNAcentral.
AGAUUGAACGCUGGCGGAAUGCUUUACACAUGCAAGUCGAACGGCAGCACGGGGGGCAACCCUGGUGGCGAGUGGCGAACGGGUGAGUAAUACAUCGGAACGUGCCCAGUCGUGGGGGAUAACGUACGCGAAAGCGUAGCUAAUACCGCAUACGAACUCUGGUUGAAAGCGGGGGAUCGCAAGACCUCGCGCGAUUGGAGCGGCCGAUGGCAGAUUAGGUAGUUGGUGGGUAAAGGCCUACCAAGCCGACGAUCUGUAGCUGGUCUGAGAGGACGACCAGCCACACUGGGACUGAGACGACGGCCCAGACUCCGUACGGGAGGCAGCAGGUGGGAAUUUGGACAAGUGGGCGACAAGCCUGACUCCGAGCCACGUUCCGGCGUGCCGAGG